AUGCAAACCAAAGUGAUAAGGUACAUGAAAAUCCACACGCUUCAUGAUUUAGUCGCCACAUGCCUGUCCUCUAAAUUCAAGGGAAGUUGCUGUGGGGUGCGCAAACAUCAGUUCUGCCACACCAAAAUGAGAUCACUAACUCUACAGCCACAGCUAAACAACAUAUUUACAAAGCACUAUCUCUACCAUCUUCAUCUAGGUUUGAAACAGGUAGAUAGUAGUUCAGCUACCAAGCCUUCAUGGAAGGUGAAACAGUCUAGCAUUCCUAAACGGAUUCAUGCAGUGUUUAGUUUUAUUCACAAGAGACACAAGAACAAGUAUUUAUUUGUGAUAGUAGUAGUAUGUGAAGAUGCACCAUCCUCCUGGAAGGGGAUUGGAGCAUCAGUGCUCAUUCAUCCAUUCACCACUACUCUGGGUGCAAAACUGCAUCCGUUACCAUGUAUUGUAAGUCCUAAAGCUAAGAAUUGCCCUGCUCUCUGGAUCCAGUGGAACAGAAUCCAAUAUUUCCAGGUCUCCAUCAGUGGAGACGAGCUGACAAACACUUUUCUCACAGACCCUGGUGGGGGUCAUUUUGCUGAAGGAGGCUGUCAGUGAUUUAUAGUCAGCAUUAAAAUGAAAAUGCUAAAAUAACUUGACUUUUACUGCAGCAAUUUGACCACUGCAGAAAAACUGUGUCUUCAUUGAGAUUCCUUCACUGUUAAAAAGAUUGGGGUUCUUUUAUUUUUACUGAUCAGGACUGGUGCAAAGUGGAUAUUUUGGCAGGAGGGCAGGGUGGUUAAACUGGGGUCUUCUACUACUCACAUCACAAAAGGUGAGUCUAGCACUUCCCUUAUUCAUUUCUGUGAGCUACCCUGUUAUUCCUGGUUGGAAUCAAGAAUUUAGCUUGGCUUUGACUUUAUUCAGCUUCUGACAUUAGAGGGAAUAUAAAAACGAAAUUAAAAACCAGCUGCUCUUAUAAUCUCCAGAGUGGAUUAUCCAGGUUGCCAGCUGCUUAUGCUGUGAGGGUACCCAGAGGAGUGGCUGGCUGUAGGCAUUCACAAACAUGGACAUGAUAGUAUAGAGAUCUUUCUGCAGAAGAGGUCUUUACCCAUUUCAUAAUCUUCAGGACGUACAACAUAUAAAAACAGUGGAAAAACCACUAGUGUCCCAUCUUGUGUUAAGUAAAUUUGCUUCUAAUCUUGAUGUCAGUUGUAGACUGCUCUAUCUGGCAUCCAGUAUACCUGUUGCAUCUAUGGGAGUGGGAAUAGCAGUGUCCUGAUUCUUAUGAAUGCCAGGUGAUAGUUGUCAUGUUCUCAGGAUUUUAUUUUUUAUUUUUUACAUGUCAGGAAGACUGCACAAAACAAGCACUGCAUCUGGGCACUUCAUCCCUCCCACCACAGCUGAUGUUUCUAUUCCACUCUUGAGGUACCUGCAGUCAUUCCUGUCUGUCUGUGAGUACACAGCUAAAUGGAAUAGCAGCAGCUAGGACAGUGCCUUUCACACCCAAACCUGUUCACAAGCACAGCCAUUCACACUUUCCAAAUGCAAUCACAUAAGCCAACAUGUAGCAAAAAUUAUAAGCAAACUCACACAGAUGUAGGUUACUUAUUAGAACCUAGUAGCCUUAGUAUUAUUAUGACCUAGUAGAAAAUAGAUGAUGUGCCAAAACAAUAAUUUAGCACAGCAGACUUUAGUUAUUAGUCAUUACAGAACAUAUUUAAAUCAUAAAAUCACAGAAUCAUAGAAUAGUUUGAGUUGGAUGGGACCUUUAAAGGUCAUCUAGUCCAACUUUCCUGCAAUGAGAAAUGAGGUCUCCCACUUGAUCAGGUUGCUUACAGCCCUGUCCAACUCACCCUAGAAUGUUUCCAGAGACAGGGCAAAGUAAAACAGAACCCAAACCAAACUUGCAUAUGUGAGCACACACACAAAAUAGCAUGCUGCUCAAAGUGCAAUGAGACACAAUUAGGAAGCCACUAAAAAGAAUGUGUCUCAAGCUAUUAUUUACUAAAAUUACAACAGCCAGAAAAGAUCCCAGAAUCACAGAAUUACAGAAUUUUUUGGGUUGAAAGGGAUGUCUGGAGAUCAUCCAGUCUAACCCCACUGCCAAGGCAGGGUCACCUAAAGCAGGUGACACAAGAACACAUCAAGGGGGUUUGGAAUGUCUCCAGACUCCAAUGACCUCCUUGGAGACUCCAUGAUCUCCCUGGGCAGCCUGUUCCAGUGCUCUGCCACCCUCAAUGUAAAGAAGCUCUUCAUAUUGAGGUGGAUGCAAGACACAAAUGAACAUCUCUGGAGACUUUUUCUCAGGCACAUUGCUAUACACACCAGUGAUGAUUACACAGCAGUAUAAUUUUUUACCCUUGGUGACAAUAAGGCCCUAGGUAAUGUACCUCCCUUUUGACUCAGUGCUGCAGAUCCAGUGUCUGUGGAGCAAAAAGCAGAAGUGCUCUUGGGAUCCCUUCCUCCUCCACUGGACACCUGCAGGCCCAUUUGGGUUUAACUCUGGGCACCAAAUGGCACCUUCAGUGACUGCAGAGACUUGCUCAGUCCAACCUCCUCUGAUUGUCCUUCCCUCAAAUUCAGCCCCUACUGCAGGAGCUGCUCCAAGGAUGAAACAGUGGGACAAUUUACAGACAAGACUCUACAGUGUGGCCACCAUUAUCCAUGAAUGGAAGUUAAACACCUUGAUUGUGUUAGCACAUUGCCUGGAUGCACAAGCCAGAGGCUGCUGAGGGGUCCCCUCCUGAACUCAUGCCUAAAUUCUCAAGGUGGGGGAAAUAUGUCCAGCUCUUCUAUCCUCCCAUGCAUUUCUAUUUCUGACAGAGCACCGUACAGAUGAAGCUGGUGGAUGUGCUCAGCAGAGGACCCAUUUUCCUAGAGCUCCUGGAGGAUUUGUGGUUGACUCAGCACAACACACUCCAACACUGGGCUGAUCUUCAUGGCACUAAGCUCUUAAUUACUACUCAGAUGUAUAUAUCAACACGUAAUAAAUCCUCUUAAUUCAACUGAGGAACAAAGCAGAAAAGACUGUAGUCACACUAUUAUUUUAGUAUAGUUAAUAAGAUUCAAAAUUACUUGCAAUUUAUCCAUGUAAAAUCUACUAAGGGGAAAACCAAACCUUGAUCCAAUUCUACAAUAAUGGCACUAGAGAGCAUAAUGAGAUCCUGUAAUUCCAGAGUGGUUUGCUGCAUUUUAGCCUGAUCAUUGAGUUGUUUUCUGUACAAAAAUCUACAAUAUCUUGAAGACAGUCAGAACAGGAGUGAGAACCCCAACCCUAACAGAAAGGCAACGUUUCUGUUAAUUUUGACCAGGCAAUGUAAAUGGUGUCCUAAAACAAGCAGCCCAGCUUCUACCUAAAAGUCAUAUGCUCAUUUUCUUGCUUUGAGAUUGCUCAGUCUUUCCCCAAAGAAACUUACAUUUCUGCUUGUUAAUGUUUACUUUAGUUAAGACUACAGAGGAGGACUCGAAGGUGGCUCUACAUUGUAUUAAAGUUACAUGGUAUAUCAGUAUAUGAUAGCAGUAUUUGCCACCUCUGGUGCAACACAUCCGUAUUACUAAGAGGUCACAGCUCUAAGAAGCCCAGUUCAUUUACAGGAGCAGUCUUAAGGGAUGUACUAUGAUGAUUUUAAAACAUUGGAUCAAACUGGCUGUAGGGAGUGUGAUGGCCAUGAUGUCCCAUUAAUGGGCCCCUUUUUGUUUCAAAAGGAACACUAUCCAGAAAGGACAAAGGUGUGAGAAGCAAUUCAUUGCAUGGUGAUGAAUAAUACUGUUUUGUCCUUAUGUUGAUCCCUUUUUAAAAAAGACAGAACUUAAAUAUAUAAACAUAUGAAAUGUAUAGAUAAAUAUAUAGAGAUAUCUAAUGUUAAUAUGUGGUUUGAUCAGAACUGGAUUAAGCAAAGACCAUGUAAAGACACCACAACAUCAUGAUUAAAUAAAAUACUCAUUACAAUUUGCAUUUAUGUAGUUCUGAAACCAAGCAGUAAGAAAGCCAUAUACAGCAGUGAGUAAGUCUCAUUAUUUUAACUUCAGAGCUUUGGCAACUUAGAGUCACUUAAUGAUAAGCCAUAGUAAAAAAAAUUCAGGUGAUGAAUUCAGCAGUUCUGACUCCAGGUUUUUUUUACAUAGUUAAGAAUCCAAAAGGCUUGGGAGCAAGACAAGAAAACUUCAGAAAUACAGAGGAUUUUUACUUGUUCACCUCUUUGCCAGCGGUCCUAAUCAGUUAAAUUAGCAUUAAACAGAUUAGCUAGUAUAAAAUCACCCUGUGUUAAAAUAACUCUAAAUUAUACUUGCAUUUUGGAGAACAGGGUCUGCAUGGGUACAAGUGAAUAGUGCCUUGUUCUCUUACUUGUUUAAUUAAUCCAAGUGUAUUUACAGCGAGCAGUAAUUCAUCAGGCUAAAAAAUCCUGAAAUGUACCAUAUCACAGUUGCAGCAAAUUCACCCAUACACAAGGAAAGCCUCAUUUCUCCCUUCCACUGGUGUUACAUUAACAUGGCUUUAACUCUGGUUGAGCUUAUCCUUAACUCAUUUUAGUGUGACAGGAAAAACAAACUUCAAACCUUCUACAGAAGGCAGCUUUAAAUUUGCUGCAAUUUUUUUGUUUUUUUUUUAAUUAUUUCACUACAGUGUCAAAUGAACUUUGGCUAGAGAUAUAACAUAGUGACAGAUUUCCUUCUGGGCUCAGAUGAGAAACAGUUAAUUUUACAUGAUGAUUUAAACUUUAAGGAGCCUUUGAUAAGUAAAUGAGGAUAUAAGACUAGAUAAAGAAAAGUUCAUUAUGAAACCAAGCUAAUGUAGCACUUGCAGGCAUGGAGAAGACGCUGCUCCAGAAGAAAGGCAUUCCUGCAACCUGGAGAAAUACUUUCCUUCUUUUAACAGCUGAAUAGAGAAGAAGCAGAUCCGCAAUGCUGGGACUUGUCCUGCAACUGAAGUGCUGUUGGUCCAUUUAGUAGAAGUCUCAGUCAUGGCAGGGGGGUAAAGCACCGAGACUGCUGAUAUUUUCAAAUCUCUUAGCAGCAGUAACCACACAGCAGCUUUUCUGCACAAUAAACCAAACAAGAAUCCAGUUAAUUCAGCAGUAUGUUUUUUUCACUUGGUUAAGUGUUCUGGGAUGACCACAUGGUGGUUUCUUUGUGCAUAAAGAAAAGAAAGCAGCACUGUAGCUUCUUGCUUACAAAGGAU
Molecule: long non-coding RNA, 5158 nt
Filed under: Ficedula albicollis (Collared flycatcher)
Lineage: Eukaryota; Metazoa; Chordata; Aves; Passeriformes; Muscicapidae
Description: lncRNA (ENSFALG00000023836.1)
Source: RNAcentral